CAAAUAAUAAAAACAAAUUUAUGGUUGUGCCAUGGAAGCUUCCACAAGUGUUAUAGUACAAUCAGUAAGGGAAAAUCUUGAGAAAAGUGUCCUAAGCAAACUUGAUAUAAAUAUUCAAUUCUCUUUCUGUUACGUAGAUGAUUGCAUUACUGCCGUACUAAAAAAUCAAAUUAAAAACAUAAAUAGAAAGUUCAAUAAUUAUCAUAAAAAACUCAAUUAGAAUCGAAUAGAAUAAUAAAAUCAAUUUUCUUGAUGUCCUAUGUCACAAAAAAUAUCAGUAAUAAUAAGUUUGGCUGAUAGAUCCAUCCAACUAUCAGAUCCUGAGUUUAGAUGCUUAGCUAUUCAAAAAGCAUAAACUGUAUUAAAAGAAAAUAAUUAUCCAGAAAAAAUGAUAAACCACAUAUUAAAAAAAAAGAUAAACAGAUACUAGAUUCGAUUGAAAAAGAAAACAGAAACGAAACAUCAGAACAUAAAAGAUUUCUCUUUACCAUAUGUACAAGGACUUUUCCAACAACUAUCGCAUUAUUUCAAUAAAUAUGAUAUUAGUAUAAGUCAUAGAGGACAUAAUAUAUUAUCCAAAUAUUUCACUAAAUCAAAAUCUAAAACACCAAAAAAUAAAAGGAGUACUAUUAUAUAUCAAGUGCCUUGUACUAAUUGUGAUGCUAUCUACAAAAGACAGACAUCUCAGUAUUUGGAAAAUAGACUAAAAGGUCAUCAAUACGAUAAAAAAAUAAAGUUGCAUUAACGUAACACGAAAUAUCAAAAAAAAAACAAAUUCAAUUAUAAAGAUCUGUGCUCUGUGUAUGAGUGUGUGUGUAUAUACGUAAUGAAAAAAGCCGGUAUGGCGCUAACCACAUCUGCUUUGGUGUAAGGAGUGUUUCUACAUAUAAAUAGAUAUAAUAUGGGUUGAAAUACAUUGCUUAAAGGUUGAACAACAUAAAUAGUAUUCUAAAACAUGCGAUCUUGAUUUUAAUGCUACAAAUGUUUUCUUAACUUGCUAAAUGCUUAAACUCUUAUUUUAUAGAAUUUUAAACAAUAAGGAGUAGUUGUCACCUUUUACUAUAAUAUGAAUAUAUUGACAUAAGAUAGAUUUUAAAGUGAAGGGUGAAUGGAACUUAUUCAUGCAAUUCCAUGCGUCUUGAUGAAAUUCUGAGGUGAUACCAUAUUUUUACCGUCGUUCACUGAACUAUAGUUUAUUUUCUAAAGUUGUGUAGCUGACAUCGGUUAAAAUAACUUUGAGUGUAUACACGUUUUCAUAAAUAUUAUGUUCUUAAAUAAAUAGUAUAAAAAUUAACGGCGACAUGAGUGUAACAAGUUAUCUUUACGUAAGCAACUUUUCUUAAGGGCACUGAUAAAUUCCAUCUUAUUUGUAAAUAUUUUAAUUUUCUAUAAAACGAAAUUACUUUUUUCCAUAUGUAAGGAAAGGUACUUUGAAACACAUGUGUUGAAAAGUAUGGGGACAGUUAACGUAACCUUUACAUAGCAAAAUCAAUAUCAAAUCUUCUUAAAUUGUGUUUUAAAUGUCCAUAAUUUUUCUAGUUCAUAUACUUUUCCACACAUGUGCGGAUAUAUUUCUGUAUAUACGGGUGAAAUUUAGUGUUUUUUAAAGAUGAAAACGUUAAAAUCAAUCAUUUUGGUAUGUGGUCGUAAGAAAAUAAAUAUUUUCUUUGUAAUGGUGGAUAAAAGUUUGAUAUAAUAGCUGUUUUCCAUUUACACCAGAACUCAGAUGCACGUUCCUUUUCAGUGUCACAAGUGAGACCUAACUAAGUUUUUACCCGCAAUCUGCACAAGCUUGAGACUGUGUGCUUUAGUGUUCUGUGAACACAGAUUGAAAAUGAGGUUGAGGACACGUUAUCAGAUCUUUUAGAUAGAUUAGAUUCUUUUGCUGCGGGUAUCACACCGUUGGAUUACCAAUGAUUUUGGUGAAUUUAAUGUGGAAGACACCGAGCAAAAUAUAGAAUAUGGUUACCAAAUAAUUCAAUUAGUUUGUACUCAAACAAUAAACUCUAUUUUAAAAAACAAGGAAAUGAAAACGUUGAAAAACCUAUGGAGGUUAUUGAUAUAAGCCUCGAAUUUAAUGAAACAAGUAGAAGUGCUAUCGAAAAUUCAAAACAUUUGGACCAAUUGGAAGGAGCAAGUAGUGGGAGCAUAAUUGAAAAUGUACACUUCAGACUAAACAAAAUAUUUCUGUUGUAAAAGUCAGUAUAAGCUAUAUAACACUGUUGUACCGAACAAACGAUGUUGGGAUAGUUAAUUUGUAGUUUGACUCAGUAAAUUUAUUUUUUAAAAA
Long non-coding RNA from Diorhabda sublineata, 2290 nucleotides. RefSeq lists it as uncharacterized. The transcript has 3 exons. The record is from RefSeq and is a predicted model, not a curated record. Lineage: Eukaryota; Metazoa; Arthropoda; Insecta; Coleoptera; Chrysomelidae.